This 252-nucleotide ribosomal RNA is filed under the name uncultured bacterium. Its description in RNAcentral is "partial 16S ribosomal RNA". It matches the Rfam family "Bacterial small subunit ribosomal RNA", at positions 524 to 776 of the family's 1533-position model. The record is from RNAcentral.
UACGUAGGUCCCGAGCGUUAUCCGGAUUUAUUGGGCGUAAAGCGAGCGCAGGCGGUUAGAUAAGUCUGAAGUGAAAGUGUGUGGCUUAACCAUAGUAUGCUUUGGAAACUGUGUAACUUGAGUGCAGAAGGGGAGAGUGGAAUUCCAUGUGUAGCGGUGAAAUGCGUAGAUAUAUGGAGGAACACCGGUGGCGAAAGCAGCUCUCUGGUCUGUAACUGACGCUGAAGCUCGAAAGCGUGGGGAGCAAACAGG